UUAGAAGUUUAUUAUUUAUUUUUCAAUAUAUUAUGAUUAGUAUUGCUCUCGUAAGUGUUAGGUGAAUUAAAUUUUAUUAACUUAGGAGUUAUAAGGUCAACAUAAAUCAGUAAUAUUGUUAACAAAUAGAAUUAAAUUUUUACCAGAUCAAAAAAUGAAGCUAAUUCGAGGUCACGAUCGAAAUCUCGUUCGAAGUCGCCAAGCGAUGAUCAAAAGACGAAUGGCUCCAGAUCCAGAUCGGUCAGCAAAGAUAGAAAGAGCAAAUCGCACAGUAGAUCACCUGCAAAAGUCAACUCUGACAAAAAUAAUUAGAUUAUUUACUCUGAAUAUAAUGAAGUUUUGUUCCAACGAUUAUUUCUUACAUUUAAAAUGAAAAUUAAUUUCUGCUAUACUACUAUAUUUAAGCAUUUUAUCAAAUUAAGUGACUCUGGUGGAAUACAGUGUAUUUGUUUAAUAAUAUAACAAAUAUUUUGAUCCUAAUUCAUGAGUGUCAAAUUUGUGUGGAAAAAAAAAUUAAACUCAAUAAGUAAUGUAGAUAUAAAUAGCGGUUAGUUUCCGUAGAUGUUACGAAUAAGGUAUUUUAAGUAAUGAUUAGUUUUUCGAAAUUGAUUUGUUUAGCGUGGACCAGAGGUUUUGCAGAUAGAGGCUGGUUUUUGGGUCCAGUUAGUCAGCAUAUUCUACAAUUACUUCUACAUUGUAUCGGCAACUGCCUAUUCCCUUGAAAGGGUUGGCUACAUUUGUCUAACAUAUAAAACAUUUAUUUUGUAUUUACAAUGUAUACAGUUUUCAUUGGUGUUUUACAGAACUAAAUUUACUAUCAUUCUUUUUGUAAUAUAAUUAUUAUACAUA
Long non-coding RNA from Agrilus planipennis (emerald ash borer), 849 nucleotides. RefSeq lists it as uncharacterized. Lineage: Eukaryota; Metazoa; Arthropoda; Insecta; Coleoptera; Buprestidae. The record is from RefSeq and is a predicted model, not a curated record. The transcript is spliced from 2 exons.